GAUGAAGAACGUAGCGAAAUGCGAUACGUAAUGUGAAUUGCAGAAUUCAGUGAAUCAUCGAAUCUUUGAACGCACAUUGCGCCCGCCAGCAUUCUGGCGGGCAUGCCUGUUCGAGCGUCAUUUCAACCCUCGAGCCCCCCCGGGGGCCUCGGUGUUGGGGGACGGCACACCAGCCGCCCCCGAAAUGCAGUGGCGACCUCGCCGCAGCCUCCCCUGCGUAGUAGCACACACCUCGCACCGGAGCGCGGAGACGGUCACGCCGUAAAACGCCCAACUUCUUAGAGUUGACCUCGGAUCAGGUAGGAAUACCCGCUGAACUUAAGCAUAUCAAUAAGCGGAGGA
RNAcentral lists this unclassified non-coding RNA (342 nucleotides) under soil metagenome. RNAcentral's name for it is "partial contains 5.8S ribosomal RNA, internal transcribed spacer 2, and large subunit ribosomal RNA". The stretch from base 1 to 120 matches the Rfam family "5.8S ribosomal RNA", at positions 35 to 154 of the family's 154-position model. The record is from RNAcentral.